Molecule: long non-coding RNA, 1342 nt
Filed under: Diabrotica virgifera virgifera (western corn rootworm)
Lineage: Eukaryota; Metazoa; Arthropoda; Insecta; Coleoptera; Chrysomelidae
Description: uncharacterized LOC126878979
Source: RNAcentral
GUCACGUUACAAAAUUAGCUCUUUAAUUAUUAUUAUAAUUAUUUUUCCUCGGUCUCCAUUUAAAUUCUCUAAUUUCUCGUAUAGGACUACUGGGGUGACGUCAUACCUCGGUGAUGGAACGUACUCCACCUAUCGAGAAUGAUUUCGUUUUCUGAGAGAGUUUGACGUUUACCUUGGCGGAGAAGCGCCUCUCGUUCUUUACUUGACUGUUGGCUGUUGUGUCGAAUAGAGGUACCAUAUAGAAUGGCGGAUGAUUUCAUCCAACUUAUUUUAUAACAUCAAGCAAUUUAAAGUAAAGUAAAAAGUUACCACCAAGGAUUGUCUGGAGUGAGGAGACAUGUGGGUGACAACUCCUGUUGGAGUCUAAAUAGGAAUCAUUCGCCAUUUGGGAGAAACCCUACCAUGAAGUCAUAGACCUUAUUUGACCACCUAGAGAAACCACUACAGCCACAGUCAAGUCAUCAUGGGAGUAUGUCUAAUUGGGAGCAAGCUAUGGGAGCGUUCCAGCUCAGUUUUCGUCUUGGCACCUGGGCCUACAGGAGUCAUGGGUCGCACCAUCCUGGUGCAUCAUUUUCUAGGAUGCAACCGCAACCUUUUUAGGAAUCAUUGGGAUUCGUUUGGAAACAAUUAGUGUGUUUUAGUAACUAUUGGUUUUUUUUUACAUUUCAGACUCUCGGUUUAAUGCGCUAUGUUAAUUAAUUUUUUUUCCAGAUUUAGUUUACCUCUGGUUUUUUUUUUAAUAUAUUUGUAUAUUAGAUUAUUUGGUUCCCAAACUUUGUAUCUACGGUAACUUCUUGUGCACAGGAAUAAGCCUAGAGAAAAUUAGGUUUUUAAUACUUUAUUAUUGCUUUGAUAUUGGUUUAUGUAAUUCGGGUAAAUUUAUUUUUUUUAAUAUUACUAGCUUGUUUCCCAAAUAUUUUACUGUUAUUCGCUUUAUUCCAUUUGUUCGGUUAAUUUAGGUCAUCGUCGGUAUUUAUCUCAACUUCAUUUCUACUUUAGUCAAUUGUAUAUUUAACUUUAUCUAUUCAUUAUUGUAUUUUCCCUUAGUGAGGCUUGGGCCUAUUUAUUUGUAGUAUUUUCAUCUUUGUCAGUUUCAUUUAGUUGUACGUAGCAGGCGUACUAUAACCAUUUGGUAGAAGACUUAUGUAAUUUUGUACCCUAUAUGUUAGUGAGAGGUACUUAUACCUGUAAUUUUGUAACAGAUAACAUUAUUGUUGUUAUCUUAGAGAUAACUUUUUGUAUAACUUAUGUCAUUUUAGAGUCACAUGAUAUACACUUUGUGUAACUCAGAGAUUGUCAAAAAUCUAGUAGUUAUUUUUAAUAAAUAUGUAUUUAUUUUGUA